RNA transcript from Cebus imitator (Panamanian white-faced capuchin), 2057 nucleotides. It is a transcript of the gene named RNA-binding protein 39-like, with no coding region annotated. The transcript has a single exon. Lineage: Eukaryota; Metazoa; Chordata; Mammalia; Primates; Cebidae. The record is from RefSeq and is a predicted model, not a curated record.
GCAGCCGCCAUUUCAGGGAGCUUGCCCACGCUGGCUGCCGAAGCCGCCGUCCUGCUCUCCCGCGUGGGCUUCUCUAAUUCCAUCGUGUGUUUUAGAUUCGCUCGGACCUCGCCGUCCCCUGAGCCCGAUAUUCGUGCUGGGCGGUCCCGCGGCCUGGGCCUAGGGACUUAGGAGUAGCAACAGCAGCGGCGGCAGCGGCGGCGGCAGCAGUCACUUCCCGAACAGGAGCGCCACAAGCGCCCGAAAGCCCGCACAGGCGUUUGAGAAAAUGGCAGACGACAUUGAUAUUAAAGCAAUGCUUGAGGCUCCUUACAAGAAAGAUGAGAACAAGUUGAGCAGUGCCAACGGCCAUGAAGAAUGUAGCAAAAAGAGGGAAAAAAGCAAGAGCAGAAGUCGUAGUCAUGAACGAAAGAGAAGCAAAGUAAGGAAUGAAAGUGAAGUAGAGUUGGAGAAAGGAAAAAGAGCAAAAGCCGUGAAAGGCAACGAAGUAGAAGCAAAGAGAGGCGACGGAGCCACUCAGGAAGUCGAGAUCGAAGAUUUAGAGGCCCCUCAGAAGUCCUUACUCCGGACCAAAAUUUAACAGUGCCAUCUGAGGAAAGACUGCAUUGCCUCAUAGCAUCAAAUUAAGCAGACGACGUUCCGGAAGCAAAAGUCCAUUUAGAAAAGACAAGAGCUCUGUGAGGGACCCUACUGAUAAUCUAACUCCUAAGGAAAGACAUGCAAGGACAGUCUACUGUAUGCAGCUGGCGGCAAGAAUUCGACCAAGAGAUUUGGAAGAGUUUUUCUCUACAGUAGGAAAGCUUCCAGAUGUGAGGAUUAUUUCUGAAGGAAAUUCAAGACGUUCAAAAGGAAUUGCUUGUGUGAAGUUCGUCGAUGUUAGCUUAGCUCAGUACUUCUAGCAAUAGGAUUAACUGGCCGACGAGUUUUAGGACUGCCAGUCAUAGUACAGGCAUCACACGCAGAAAAAAACCGAGCUGCAGCAAUGCCAAUUUACAAAAGGAAAGUGCUGGACCUGUGAGGCUUUAUGUGGGCUCGUUACACUUUAACAUAACUGAAGACAGUCUUCGGGGGAUGUUUGAGCCUUUCAAAAGGAUUGAAAGCAUCCAGCUGAUGAUGGACAGUGAAACUGGUCGAUCCAACGGAUAUGGAUUUAUUACAUUUUCUGAUUCAGAAUGUGUCAGAAAGGCUUUGGAACAACUUAAUGGAUUUGAACCUAGCAGGAAGGCCAAUGAGAAGUUGGUCCUGUUACUGAGUGUACUGAUGCUUCAAGCGCUAGUUGAUUUUUGGACAGUAAUGAACUGGAAAGGACUGGAAUUGAUUUGGGAACAACUGGUGGUCUUCAAUUAAUGGCAAGACUUGCAGAGGGUACAGGUUUGCAGAUUCCACCAGCAGCACAGCAAGCUCUACAAAUGAGUGGCUCUUUGGCAUUUGGUGCUGUGGCAGAAUUCUCUUUUGUUACAGAUUUGCAAACAAGGCUUUCUCAGCAGACUGAAGCUUCAGCUUUAGCUGCAGCUGCCUCUGUUCAGCCACUUGCAACACAGUGUUUCCAACCUUCUAACAUGUUUAGUCCUCAAACAGAAGUUGGAUGGGAUACAGAGAUUAAGGACGAUGUGAUCGAAGAUUGUAAUAAACAUGGACGAGUUACUCAUAUUUAUGUUAACCAAAAUUCAGCUCAGGGCAAUGUGUAUGUGAAGUGCCCAUCAAUUGCUGCAGCUAUUGCUGCUGUCAAUGCAUUGCAUGGCAGGUGGUUUGUUGGUAAAAUGAUAACAGCAGCAUAUGUACCUCUUCCAGCUUACCACAACCUGUUUCCUGAUUCUAUGACAGCAACACAACUACUGUUUCCAAGUAGACAAUGAAGGAAGAUAUAGUCCCUUAUGUAUAUAGCUUUUUUCUUUCUCAAGAAUUCAUCUUGAGUUAUCUUUUAUUUAGAUUAAAAAAAAGAGGCAAGGAUCUACCGUCAUUUGUAUACAAUUCCUGUUACCUUGAAAAAAUAAAAAAAUUAACAGGAAUGCAGUGUGCUCAUUCUCCCUAAAUAGCAAAUCCCACUGUAUACAAAA